RNAcentral lists this ribosomal RNA (1600 nucleotides) under Escherichia coli. RNAcentral describes it as "partial 23S ribosomal RNA". It matches the Rfam family "Bacterial large subunit ribosomal RNA", at positions 1214 to 2798 of the family's 2925-position model. The record is from RNAcentral. Lineage: Bacteria; Pseudomonadati; Pseudomonadota; Gammaproteobacteria; Enterobacterales; Enterobacteriaceae.
CUAUGUGUUGUUGGGUAGGGGAGCGUUCUGUAAGCCUGCGAAGGUGUGCUGUGAGGCAUGCUGGAGGUAUCAGAAGUGCGAAUGCUGACAUAAGUAACGAUAAAGCGGGUGAAAAGCCCGCUCGCCGGAAGACCAAGGGUUCCUGUCCAACGUUAAUCGGGGCAGGGUGAGUCGACCCCUAAGGCGAGGCCGAAAGGCGUAGUCGAUGGGAAACAGGUUAAUAUUCCUGUACUUGGUGUUACUGCGAAGGGGGGACGGAGAAGGCUAUGUUGGCCGGGCGACGGUUGUCCCGGUUUAAGCGUGUAGGCUGGUUUUCCAGGCAAAUCCGGAAAAUCAAGGCUGAGGCGUGAUGACGAGGCACUACGGUGCUGAAGCAACAAAUGCCCUGCUUCCAGGAAAAGCCUCUAAGCAUCAGGUAACAUCAAAUCGUACCCCAAACCGACACAGGUGGUCAGGUAGAGAAUACCAAGGCGCUUGAGAGAACUCGGGUGAAGGAACUAGGCAAAAUGGUGCCGUAACUUCGGGAGAAGGCACGCUGAUAUGUAGGUGAAGUCCCUCGCGGAUGGAGCUGAAAUCAGUCGAAGAUACCAGCUGGCUGCAACUGUUUAUUAAAAACACAGCACUGUGCAAACACGAAAGUGGACGUAUACGGUGUGACGCCUGCCCGGUGCCGGAAGGUUAAUUGAUGGGGUCAGCGCAAGCGAAGCUCUUGAUCGAAGCCCCGGUAAACGGCGGCCGUAACUAUAACGGUCCUAAGGUAGCGAAAUUCCUUGUCGGGUAAGUUCCGACCUGCACGAAUGGCGUAAUGAUGGCCAGGCUGUCUCCACCCGAGACUCAGUGAAAUUGAACUCGCUGUGAAGAUGCAGUGUACCCGCGGCAAGACGGAAAGACCCCGUGAACCUUUACUAUAGCUUGACACUGAACAUUGAGCCUUGAUGUGUAGGAUAGGUGGGAGGCUUUGAAGUGUGGACGCCAGUCUGCAUGGAGCCGACCUUGAAAUACCACCCUUUAAUGUUUGAUGUUCUAACGUUGACCCGUGAUCCGGGUUGCGGACAGUGUCUGGUGGGUAGUUUGACUGGGGCGGUCUCCUCCUAAAGAGUAACGGAGGAGCACGAAGGUUGGCUAAUCCUGGUCGGACAUCAGGAGGUUAGUGCAAUGGCAUAAGCCAGCUUGACUGCGAGCGUGACGGCGCGAGCAGGUGCGAAAGCAGGUCAUAGUGAUCCGGUGGUUCUGAAUGGAAGGGCCAUCGCUCAACGGAUAAAAGGUACUCCGGGGAUAACAGGCUGAUACCGCCCAAGAGUUCAUAUCGACGGCGGUGUUUGGCACCUCGAUGUCGGCUCAUCACAUCCUGGGGCUGAAGUAGGUCCCAAGGGUAUGGCUGUUCGCCAUUUAAAGUGGUACGCGAGCUGGGUUUAGAACGUCGUGAGACAGUUCGGUCCCUAUCUGCCGUGGGCGCUGGAGAACUGAGGGGGGCUGCUCCUAGUACGAGAGGACCGGAGUGGACGCAUCACUGGUGUUCGGGUUGUCAUGCCAAUGGCACUGCCCGGUAGCUAAAUGCGGAAGAGAUAAGUGCUGAAAGCAUCUAAGCACGAAACUUGCC